Long non-coding RNA from Pygocentrus nattereri (red-bellied piranha), 748 nucleotides. RefSeq lists it as uncharacterized. NCBI's taxonomy places the organism in Eukaryota, Metazoa, Chordata, Actinopteri, Characiformes, Serrasalmidae. The transcript has 2 exons. The record is from RefSeq and is a predicted model, not a curated record.
GAGGAGGAGGGGCAGGAAGAGGGGGAGGAGAGUCAGGAACAGUGUCUGGUUGGAAAUGUUUCUCAAUUUCCAUCUUUGUGGAGGCUUUUGGACUGAACUUUCCACACCGUUGUCGUAUUUGAGAGCACGAGGGCACAGAGUCACACGCUUCACACAAACACACACAGGGUUUGAUUGGUGGACGCCUCAGUGAAACUGAAUAGAAGGUCGUGCAGGUCCCUAGUGAACUCCUGAUGGACAACAUGUGAUUUCUCAUGCAGAACUGGUGGCAGUGCACACUUUAAGUUCCAGUAAUCAUUCAACAUCAUGUCCAUGUGAGACUCUAUUCUACACUGAGCACCUUCUUCGGUCAAGUCUGGACACAGUGACUCAUUAUUCUUGGUCAGCCAGGGCAAGUGGCUAAUUCUAUUCAUGAUCUUUAUUCAUUCCCCCCAUAAUUUAUCCUUCUUUUAUAUAUACAUAUAAACAUGUGCUGUUUUUUAUCAUCUCAGCAUAGCUUUGUGAGUAUCCUGGACAUUUUAUUGAAUCAUGGAAGAAAAGUUUCUUGAGGUUCAUCAAUGUAGUCUGUUCCUUUGACUAUAAUGGGUGUUAUUUGUUGUUUCCUUUGUAAUUUACCAUAAGCAGUUCACUGUUAAAUCUAUGCUAACUAAUUGUAAUUUCUUAUGUGCUGUACUGUAUGUUUUGGCAGUGAAAUUCUGGCAACCACAGCUGCUGGUAAUUUACUAUAAAGUUGAACUGUAAAAUGUCA